RNAcentral lists this ribosomal RNA (252 nucleotides) under uncultured bacterium. Its description in RNAcentral is "partial 16S ribosomal RNA". It matches the Rfam family "Bacterial small subunit ribosomal RNA", at positions 524 to 776 of the family's 1533-position model. The record is from RNAcentral.
UACGUAGGUCCCGAGCGUUGUCCGGAUUUAUUGGGCGUAAAGCGAGCGCAGGUGGUUUAUUAAGUCGGGUGUAAAAGGCAGUGGCUCAACCAUUGUAUGCAUUGGAAACUGGUAGACUUGAGUGCAGGAGAGGAGAGUGGAAUUCCAUGUGUAGCGGUGAAAUGCGUAGAUAUAUGGAGGAACACCGGUGGCGAAAGCGGCUCUCUGGCCUGUAACUGACACUGAGGCUCGAAAGCGUGGGGAGCAAACAGG